Molecule: ribosomal RNA, 390 nt
Filed under: uncultured bacterium
Lineage: Bacteria
Description: bacterial SSU rRNA
Rfam family: Bacterial small subunit ribosomal RNA
Source: RNAcentral
GGCGACCGGGUGAGUAACACGUGACUACCUACCCUUGAGUGGGGGAUAACCUCGGGAAACCGAGGCUAAUACCGCAUAAUAUCGAAAGAUCAAAGGAGUAAUCCGCUUUUGGAGGGGGUCGCGGCUGAUUAGCUAGUUGGUAGGGUAAUGGCCUACCAAGGCGAAGAUCGGUAUCCGGCCUGAGAGGGCGCACGGACACACUGGAACUGAAACACGGUCCAGACUCCUACGGGAGGCAGCAGUGGGGAAUUUUGCGCAAUGGGGGAAACCCUGACGCAGCAACGCCGCGUGGAGGAUGAAGCCCCUUGGGGUGUAAACUCCUUUCGACUGGGAAGAUUAUGACGGUACCAGUGGAAGAAGCACCGGCUAACUCUGUGCCAGCAGCCGCGG